RNAcentral lists this ribosomal RNA (253 nucleotides) under uncultured bacterium. RNAcentral's name for it is "partial 16S ribosomal RNA". It matches the Rfam family "Bacterial small subunit ribosomal RNA", at positions 524 to 776 of the family's 1533-position model. The record is from RNAcentral.
UACGUAGGUGGCAAGCGUUAUCCGGAAUUACUGGGCGUAAAGCGCACGCAGGCGGUCUUGUAAGUUUGACGUGAAAGCUCCCGGCUUAACUGGGAGAGGUCGUUGAAGACUGCAAGACUUGAGGAAAUGAGAGGGGUGUAGAAUUCCCGGUGUAGUGGUGGAAUGCGUAGAUAUCGGGGGGAAUACCAGUGGCGAAGGCGGGUCUCUGGGCCGAUAUUGACGCUGAGGAGCGAAAGCGUGGGGAGCAAACAGG